GACGAACGCUGGCGGCGUGCUUAACACAUGCAAGUCGAACGGUAAGGCCCUUCGGGGUACACGAGUGGCGAACGGGUGAGUAACACGUGGGUGAUCUGCCCUGCACUUCGGGAUAAGCCUGGGAAACUGGGUCUAAUACCGGAUAGGACCACUGCCUGCAUGGGUGGUGGUGGAAAGCUUUUGCGGUGUGGGAUGGGCCCGCGGCCUAUCAGCUUGUUGGUGGGGUGAUGGCCUACCAAGGCGACGACGGGUAGCCGGCCUGAGAGGGUGACCGGCCACACUGGGACUGAGAUACGGCCCAGACUCCUACGGGAGGCAGCAGUGGGGAAUAUUGCACAAUGGGCGCAAGCCUGAUGCAGCAACGCCGCGUGAGGGACGACGGCCUUCGGGUUGUAAACCUCUUUUAGUAGGGAAGAAGCGAAAGUGACGGUACCUGCAGAAAAAGCACCGGCUAACUACGUGCCAGCAGCCGCGGUAA
This 478-nucleotide ribosomal RNA is filed under the name uncultured bacterium. RNAcentral's name for it is "partial 16S ribosomal RNA". It matches the Rfam family "Bacterial small subunit ribosomal RNA", at positions 28 to 523 of the family's 1533-position model. The record is from RNAcentral.